CUCGACCCCGUAUUUUAGGUAUGUCUUCUAAAUAGGUGCUUGCAACCUUGAAGCUCUACUGGAUCGAUGGCCCUGAAAAGAAAUGAAGACAAUUGUUAUUCUGAUUUGCUACAAUGGAAAAUGGGUAACCUCAAAGAAGAUGUGCAAAUACGAAGAGGGUGACUUAAAAGGCUUAAUAGUUCCACGGACCGUCACAUUUGCUGAACUGUUGGAUCGUGUGCAUCAGAUUGACUGCAGUUGUCAAUUGUCCCCAGCAAUACUUAAAGAUGUCGGACGUACGGCCUCCAAACGAAGAUACCAGUUACCUGGGAGACCAGCCGUGGCAUGUGCCGUUCCCAUCUCCACCUCUGACUCUAAUUGCCACCCUAUUGCGUGUAUCCCAGCGAUAGUUAUUGUUAUCCUAUUGUAAUUAUAUUGCCCUCAUAUUGCCACUAGAUAGUUGUAUAUUGCCUAAAUAUCAUGGUUCUAUUGUAUGUAGAUUGACUAGGGCUCAUCAUUGGGUUUAGAGUUUAGGGCCUACUUUAUUCAAAAACAAGAAGAAGAG
Long non-coding RNA from Prunus mume (Japanese apricot), 544 nucleotides. RefSeq lists it as uncharacterized. NCBI's taxonomy places the organism in Eukaryota, Viridiplantae, Streptophyta, Magnoliopsida, Rosales, Rosaceae. The record is from RefSeq and is a predicted model, not a curated record.